Molecule: unclassified non-coding RNA, 274 nt
Filed under: Hevea brasiliensis (rubber tree)
Lineage: Eukaryota; Viridiplantae; Streptophyta; Magnoliopsida; Malpighiales; Euphorbiaceae
Source: RNAcentral
AAACUUGAUAUUGGUUCGAUAAAUCGCCAGCUUCAUAAAACUGUCGCACGUUGUUUCUUUCAUUGAUCCCUCAGUCCGACAAAGUCUUGAUCGAAUUAUGGCACCCAGCUUUUCGGACAUUGUCGAAGACACCCGCCUUUCCAUCCGGUCUCUGAUCGAUUACGGCGAAAGCCUGUUCAAUCCCACCGUGCGGCUUGGCGUCACAGGCCUGUCACGCGCCGGCAAGACCGUCUUCAUCACCGCGCUCGUUCAUGGCCUGCUGCGCGGCGGGCGC